RNAcentral lists this ribosomal RNA (1434 nucleotides) under Triticum aestivum (bread wheat). RNAcentral describes it as "partial small subunit ribosomal RNA". Lineage: Eukaryota; Viridiplantae; Streptophyta; Magnoliopsida; Poales; Poaceae. The record is from RNAcentral.
AUGGAGAGUAGGCGAGGAGGAGGAGGGCCGGCAGCGGCCGCAGCGGCGGCGGGCGACCCGCGCGGGCCGAUGCCGGGUUUCGGGGCUCCUCAGCACACCAUCCCAACAAAUGUGAACGUCAUGCAGCCUUCUCGAGUUGCUGAUUUGGGGGCGCUCGCCCACUCUGCUGGAUUCAGAAUAGAAGAUCUCGCUAAUUUCAGUACAAAUAAUUUAUUCAAUCUGAAGCCAAAUACACAUGCAUAUACCAGUGACCCCCUUCAGUUUGGAAAUUACGGAAAGUCCAUUUCUCCGACUGAUCUAGCUACUACGGCGGCGGCAGCAGCAGCGGUAACAGCAGUUGAUCCUCAGGCCCUACUACAGCAAAAGGGAGUGCAACCAAAUCUAGUAGCUUUAAGAACUCAUAACAAUGAUAACUGGGGAGAGUCAAGUAUGGCUGAUACAAGUCCUAGGACUGAUACAUCAACGGAUCCGGAUAUAGACAUUGAUGAACGCAACCAAAUGUUUGAACAAGGACAGCUUGCUGCCCCCACAGCUUCUGAUUCUAGCGACAAAUCAAGGGACAAAUUAGAUCAUAAGUCACUUCGCCGUCUUGCCCAAAACCGUGAAGCUGCUAGGAAAAGCCGUUUGAGAAAGAAGGCAUAUAUCCAAAACCUGGAGAGUAGUAGAUUGAAACUUACUCAACUAGAGCAAGAGCUUCAGCGUGCUCGUCAACAGGGCAUCUUCAUUUCAUCUUCAGGGGAUCAGUCUCAGUCAGCGAGUGGAAAUGGAGCUGUGGCAUUUGACAUGGAGUAUGCCCGAUGGUUGGAGGAACAUAACAAGCAUAUAAAUGAGUUGAGGGCUGCAGCCAAUGCACAUGCUGGCGAUGAUGAUCUUCGGAAAAUUGUUGAUAGCAUCAUGUCGCAGUAUGAUGAAUUUUUCAGGCUCAAGGGUGUAGCAGCCAAAGCAGAUGUUUUCCAUGUGCUGUCGGGAAUGUGGAAGACCCCUGCUGAGAGGUGCUUCAUGUGGUUAGGUGGCUUCAGAUCAUCCGAGCUCCUUAAGUUACUGGCAGGUCAACUAGAACCUCUUACUGAGCAGCAGCUUACUGGCAUAUGCAACCUGCAACAGUCUUCUCAACAAGCUGAGGAUGCUCUUUCUCAAGGGAUGGAGGCAUUACAACAGUCACUUGCAGAAACCCUAGCAUCUGGAUCCCUGGGCCCCGCAGGAUCUUCCGGUAAUGUUGCAAGCUACAUGGGGCAGAUGGCAAUGGCCAUGGGAAAACUUGGCACCCUAGAAAACUUCCUCCGACAGGCUGAUAAUCUGCGGCUCCAAACCCUUCAGCAGAUGCAACGCAUAUUAACCACUCGCCAGUCUGCACGAGCUCUGCUUGCGAUAAGCGACUACUUCUCUCGGCUACGCGCUUUGAGUUCACUUUGGCUUGCCCGUCCACGGGAAUAA